AGGGGCUGCUCCUAGUACGAGAGGACCGGAGUGGACGCACCACUGGUGUUCGGGUUGUCAUGCCAAUGGCAUUGCCCGGUAGCUAAGUGCGGAAGAGAUAACCGCUGAAAGCAUCUAAGCGGGAAACUUGCCUUGAGAUGAGUCUUCCCUGACCCUUUAAGGGUCCUAAAGGAACGUUUAAGACUAAGACGUUGAUAGGUUGGGUGUGUAAGCAUAGCGAUAUGUUGAGCUAACCAAUACUAAUGAACCGUGAGGCUUAACCUGACAACACCGAAGGUGUUUUAG
RNAcentral lists this ribosomal RNA (285 nucleotides) under Vibrio parahaemolyticus. Its description in RNAcentral is "partial 23S ribosomal RNA". It matches the Rfam family "Bacterial large subunit ribosomal RNA", at positions 2667 to 2925 of the family's 2925-position model. Lineage: Bacteria; Pseudomonadati; Pseudomonadota; Gammaproteobacteria; Vibrionales; Vibrionaceae. The record is from RNAcentral.